CGAUCCCGGUGUCCCGUUCAAUUCAAGAAAAGUAGUCUAAAUAAAAAAUAUUAAUUACAGUUCAAAAAUCGUUCGUAAUUGUGUCCGGUGAUUUAGUAUCAUACCAUCAUAACAUAUAUAUGAGAAGAACCUAACCCGUGUCAUGCCGUUAUUCUCAACGAUAUAUUUUUUUUAUCAGUUUGCAAAUUUCCGAGGCCAGUCAUUCUUAUUUUGAAAAGGCAGUAUUAAUGAUCAUUAAUAACGACAGAACUAAUAAUAUACUCAACAUUGAAAAUGCGUCAGCGGGAACCAGUAACGUAAUCGGGAUAUUUAGUCCGGAUUCGGUUUUCCUUUUUUUAGAUGUUAUGACGCAGACGACAAGGACGCUGGGUGCGAUUGUUUAUGAGAAUGAUUGACUUGGAGAGACGGACAUUUGAAUUAAAACAAAUGGAAUAAGAUAUGCAAACCAAGCAGAGGCGGAUUAUUUUCCGAGAAGAAGGUCGCUUUACAGCUUCAAAAAUGGGGACGACUUGUCAAACAGUCAACGAAACAAGAGGCAGAUUCAGAUAACUUAUUUUGGUAAAUAAUUAAUAAAUGGGUAGAUCACUCAGAUCGCUUAAACAAACACACUACAUAUAUUAAGUAUGUUGAAUGCAAUGUUGAAACGUUGCUAAUCAGCGUUGCCAUAUAUUUAUAUACAAUCAAACAAACAUUCAUAGCAAGACCGUUGACAACGAUGUCAAGUCCGUUCGUCCUUGGCUUAUUGCAUGACAAUUUUGCCAUGUGUUCGUUCGCCCUACUGUUUUUAAAAACGAAACAAAUAUAUUUAAAUGGCAUAAAGGUUUUAUAAACUGAAUCAGAUAUUAUAUGAAAAAUAGUAGGGAUCUAGCAACCAUUUUACUUUUUUUACUUCAAAGGUAAUGACUAUAUAAAAAAAAAGGUUUUAUUUAUUUAAAUUAAUAUAUGAAAAUAAAGGGUUGGGUAACAGAACCCCAUCAGCAUUAAGUAGCUUCCCAUACUAAUUAAAUUAGCCUUUCCCCAGUAAUCUACAGGCCAGGAGCUCAAUUUUUGAAAUUUUUUAGUUAGACUCUGUUGGCCCGUAGUGUAGAUAUGAUUUUAACAGGCCCGAGUGAGAGCAAUUUUACUAGCCUGGGCUGCCACUCAGCGUGAAGACUGCUUCAGUGGCGGAUCCAGAAUUUUUCAUAAGUGGGGGCCCACUCCAGUGAUUCCCUAUAUAAGCAACAAAAUUUUUUCCCAAAAAGGGGGGCCCCCCCCUAAAUCCGCCUCUGUGCUUCCCCACUCCACACCCCCAAGAUUAAUUGUCUUUGACUUUAUUCAAGAUAAAAUGUAUGAAUUAGUUACAAUGUACAAUGACAUAGUUGACUGAGUUGUAGCACUAGACAUAGUUAAUAGACACUAAAAUUAUAAAAGAUUUACAUAAUACAUGUUUACAGAAGGGGGCAGGACCUUUUUCGUGUUUUUAAGCCCUGGAUUUCAGGAUCAUGACUCAUUCGACCCGCCUCAUUACAUGUUUACUAAAAAUUAUAAUUUAAGAAUAUAAAAUCAUGAAUAUUGUCAUGAUAUUUUGAUAAUACAAUGUACAUGUACGGUACCAUAUAUGAAUAGAAUCUGAUGUGUCAGCGCAGUAGUGGAUCCAAGGGGAGGGUUCUUGGGGUUGGAACCCCCCUUUUUUUGGUCGAUUAAUGCAAUUGAAAUGAGACAUAUAUUUGGAACCCCCCCCCCCCUUUUUAAAAUGGCUGGAUCUGCCCUGCAGUGGUUGUCCUCUGUUUAUGUAGUUAUACCCCACGCAAUAUUGCGUAUAUAAUGUUUUUGACCCGUCAGUCCUGUUUCUUGUCAUAUGAUAGCAACUCCUCUUGAACCAAACAACAUAAUUUCACGAAACCUUUUUAGAUAAUAAGGACAUUAUAUGUAGAUGUGCAUUUUUUUUUUCAAGAAGUUGCGCCCCUUUGAACUUUUUUGCUUUAAUGUACUACUGCAACAGUUUGUCAUCGCAACUCCUCUGAAACCACACAACUGAAUUUCAUUAAACUUUGUAGAUAAUAAGGACAUACAACGUAGAUGGGCAUACCGACAUGAAAUUACAAUUUAAUUUUUUUUCCAGGAGUUACGCCCCUUUGAACUAGUUUGCUGUAAUAUACUACUGCAACAGUUCAUCAUCGCAACUUCUCUGAAACCAUACAACAGAAUUUCAUGAAACUUUUUAGAUAAUAAGGACAUACUCAUAAUGUAGAUGUGCAUAUUGACAGGAAAUUAUGAUUCAAUUUUUUUUUCUCAUUCUAUUUUUUUUUCUUAUUUAAUUUCUCCAAUGACAAUGUGGGGACGUACAUGUAGGGUAUGUGGGCCUGCUCACUAAGGUUCUUAAUUCAUAUAUGUUUCUCAAUUCUCGUUUUUAUAUAGAUUAAACCAUUGGUUUCCCUGUUUGCAUGGUUUAACACUAGUAAUUUUUGGGGCCCUUUAUAGCUUGCUGUUUGGUGUGAGCCAAGGCUACAUGUUGAAGGAUGUACCUUUACCUAUAAUGGUUUACUUUAUUUUUCAUAAAUUGUAAAUUGGAUGGAGAGUUUUCUCAUUGGCACUCGUACCACAUCUUCCUAUAUCUAAAGAUUACAUACCACAUCUUAUUUAUAUAUAUAUAUAUGCUAUGUAACUACUUGGACUAUGGAUAUUGGAUACCUGAUUGAUCAUAUGCAGUCUCGUUAUAUUGUUUCGUAAUCCAACAUAAGUUUGUCUCGACUAUUAAUAUUAUGAAAGUGCUACUACAUAUAUACAUUGUACACAAUGCUUAUUACCACAAAGCACAGAUUGAGGUUGAAAUUUCGUGGAGUCAAAGAGAUAUGCCCCAUUAUUAGAAAAAAUGGCUGAAUCUAGUUUCUGUUCUCUAUCUUAAGUAUGUCUCAUACAAAUGUUUAAAACUUAUGCUUAUAAUCACAAAAUGAAUCCUGCAUCUGUAUACAUGUAUGUUUACAAAAUUCCAAUGCCAAAAGCAAUAACAUUUUGAAGUUUAAACCUUUUUUAGAACUGUCAAAUUGAUAUAAAUCUAAAAAAAGAUACCAUGCUAAUUUCAAAAUUAGCAGAUGCAGCAUGCAAUAUGAAUGCCAAUGUCACACACACAUGACAGUGGCAACUAUCCACCUGAUGGUCAAGUAAAUUUUGUAAAAAUAUUUGCAGAUUAUGCAAAUUAUUUGUACAUGUAUGCAUGAAAAUUAAGUAUAUUUUUUUAAUUUUUCAGUGCCAAUCACUAUUCCAACAACUGAAUAUAAAUG
RNAcentral lists this long non-coding RNA (3260 nucleotides) under Mytilus galloprovincialis (Mediterranean mussel). The record is from RNAcentral. Lineage: Eukaryota; Metazoa; Mollusca; Bivalvia; Mytilida; Mytilidae.